GAGUGACCAUUGUGUCAUGGCUCUGCCAACCCCGCGAACCCUAUACAUUCACGUUGCCUCGGCGGGCCUCCCGCCGCAGGCCCCUGUGCAAAACGCUCUAAAAGCUCCGCGCUCCUUCUGAACAACAAACAAUAAACAAUAAAAACUUUUGGCAACGGAUCUCUUGGCUCU
RNAcentral lists this unclassified non-coding RNA (171 nucleotides) under rhizosphere metagenome. RNAcentral describes it as "partial ribosomal RNA internal transcribed spacer region". The record is from RNAcentral.